Molecule: small nucleolar RNA, 137 nt
Organism: Ochotona curzoniae (black-lipped pika)
Lineage: Eukaryota; Metazoa; Chordata; Mammalia; Lagomorpha; Ochotonidae
Product: small nucleolar RNA SNORA48
Exons: 1
Source: RefSeq, a predicted model, not a curated record
UGCUCCUGGCAAUGGGCAAGGAGACAUCUCAUUUGUGGUGCUGCUCUUAGAUCAGGCAGGGCAGAUGCAGUCCUUUGUUCAUCCUAACUUGAUGCCUGUGUAGGUGGCCAGAGCCACUUCAUGCCUAGGAUCCAAAA